CGGCGAAUAUUCUCGCUGUUCUGAUUUUGUGAUAAUCAGGGCAGGCUAAACAUUCGCUAUAUUAUGACCAUGCAUGUGUCCCCAGGCCUAGUUCUUACCCUAGGUCUGGUUUUCUAUAUGCUGGUAAUAAAC
This is a small nucleolar RNA of Talpa occidentalis (Iberian mole), 132 nucleotides long. RefSeq annotates it as small nucleolar RNA SNORA72. The transcript has a single exon. The record is from RefSeq and is a predicted model, not a curated record. NCBI's taxonomy places the organism in Eukaryota, Metazoa, Chordata, Mammalia, Eulipotyphla, Talpidae.